UACGUAGGUGGCGAGCGUUAUCCGGAAUUAUUGGGCGUAAAGAGCGCGCAGGUGGUUGAUUAAGUCUGAUGUGAAAGCCCACGGCUUAACCGUGGAGGGUCAUUGGAAACUGGUCGACUUGAGUGCAGAAGAGGGAAGUGGAAUUCCAUGUGUAGCGGUGAAAUGCGUAGAGAUAUGGAGGAACACCAGUGGCGAAGGCGGCUUCCUGGUCUGUAACUGACACUGAGGCGCGAGAGCGUGGGGAGCAAACAGGAUUAGA
Molecule: ribosomal RNA, 259 nt
Filed under: uncultured prokaryote
Description: partial 16S ribosomal RNA
Rfam family: Bacterial small subunit ribosomal RNA
Source: RNAcentral